Rhododendron vialii is the source of this 389-nucleotide long non-coding RNA. RefSeq lists it as uncharacterized. Lineage: Eukaryota; Viridiplantae; Streptophyta; Magnoliopsida; Ericales; Ericaceae. The record is from RefSeq and is a predicted model, not a curated record. The transcript is spliced from 3 exons.
AUCUCACCUUGAAUACGUACAUGUGGCCAGGGUACAUUUGUUCUUGACUUGAUUUUUACGUUUUGACUGUAUUUGGAACUAUUUACUGCAUUUGAUUUUGAAAAUUUGUUCAUUAUUUUGCCUCUUACAUCUAUUGCAAAACAGAAGGCUCAAUGGUUCCAACAAAAAAAACGAAUAUGAACUACUACCAAGGGAAAGGAAAAUGCACCGGAUCGACAUCCUCUACAAAGAAAUGUUGGAAUUGUGGUACGUGAUGAGCAAAACGUCAAUGACAUCCGUAUCAAUGAGGCAAAACAAAUGUCAAACAAAGGAAAAGAAAAGGCAACCUAUGCCAUGGAAAAUGCAAAUGUACGGGUAUGACUUCUCUACACUUCUUCAAAAACAAAUAG